ACAGUAGCUCACUUGGUAAAGCACUGGAUUCCUAAUCCAAAGGCUGUGGGUUUGAUACCUACCAGGGCUA
This is a non-coding RNA of Potamilus streckersoni, 70 nucleotides long. The record is from the annotation of a GenBank genome assembly. NCBI's taxonomy places the organism in Eukaryota, Metazoa, Mollusca, Bivalvia, Unionida, Unionidae.